CUGCAUUGACUUUGCAUUUGCUCUUUGAUUCUUAUAUCUGGGAUCUUUCUUUUCUGCUCACUUAUAUACAGGUGGGGGGAGGUGAAGGGGGUAUAUUUGGGGUGACUAUGUAGCAUUUCUGUGUUAAAAGCGAGGGCAGGAGUUGCCAAGAGCAGCCCAGUCUUCUGCAUGGAGGGACCAGAGGUCCAGCCCUGAGAAUGCUUUCCCACCCUACCCUGUGCUCAAUACCACAUGACCUCAAGCUUCGCCCAGAAGGCCCUAGGUCCCUGCUGCUCUGGCCUUCCGUUCCCACUGGGUUCUCUUGCUGCUUGACCCCUGUAAGCUCUUGUGUCCACGUCUGUGGCUGGAUGUGUCUCCACCCCAUGCCCGAGGGGCCCUGAUGCUGUAUGUUCAUACCCUUUCCCUU
Lontra canadensis (Northern American river otter) is the source of this 406-nucleotide long non-coding RNA. RefSeq lists it as uncharacterized. The transcript is spliced from 3 exons. The record is from RefSeq and is a predicted model, not a curated record. Lineage: Eukaryota; Metazoa; Chordata; Mammalia; Carnivora; Mustelidae.